UACGUAGGGGGCAAGCGUUGUCCGGAUUUAUUGGGCGUAAAGAGCGUGUAGGCGGCCAGAUAGGUCCGUUGUGAAAACUGGAGGCUUAACCUCCAGCGGUCGAUGGAAACCAUUUAGCUAGAGUCCGGAAGAGGAGAGUGGAAUUCCUGGUGUAGCGGUGAAAUGCGCAGAUAUCAGGAAGAACACCCGUGGCGAAGGCGGCUCUCUGGGACGGUACUGACGCUGAGAUGCGAAAGCGUGGGGAGCGAACAGG
Molecule: ribosomal RNA, 253 nt
Filed under: uncultured bacterium
Lineage: Bacteria
Description: partial 16S ribosomal RNA
Rfam family: Bacterial small subunit ribosomal RNA
Source: RNAcentral